GGUGAGUAAUGCUUGGGAACUUGCCUUUGCGAGGGGGAUAACAGUUGGAAACGACUGCUAAUACCGCAUAAUGUCUUCGGACCAAACGGGGCUUCGGCUCCGGCGCAAAGAGAGGCCCAAGUGAGAUUAGCUAGUUGGUAAGGUAACGGCUUACCAAGGCGACGAUCUCUAGCUGUUCUGAGAGGAAGAUCAGCCACACUGGGACUGAGACACGGCCCAGACUCCUACGGGAGGCAGCAGUGGGGAAUAUUGCACAAUGGGGGAAACCCUGAUGCAGCCAUGCCGCGUGUGUGAAGAAGGCCUUCGGGUUGUAAAGCACUUUCAGUUGUGAGGAAAAGUUAGUAGUUAAUACCUGCUAGCCGUGACGUUAACAACAGAAGAAGCACCGGCUAACUCCGUGCCAGCAGCCGCGGUAAUACGGAGGGUGCGAGCGUUAAUCGGAAUUACUGGGCGUAAAGCGCACGCAGGCGGUUUGUUAAGCUAGAUGUGAAAGCCCCGGG
Molecule: ribosomal RNA, 500 nt
Filed under: Alteromonas sp. WH204
Lineage: Bacteria; Pseudomonadati; Pseudomonadota; Gammaproteobacteria; Alteromonadales; Alteromonadaceae
Description: bacterial SSU rRNA
Rfam family: Bacterial small subunit ribosomal RNA
Source: RNAcentral